Non-coding RNA from Nicotiana tabacum (common tobacco), 461 nucleotides. The record is from RefSeq and is a predicted model, not a curated record. NCBI's taxonomy places the organism in Eukaryota, Viridiplantae, Streptophyta, Magnoliopsida, Solanales, Solanaceae.
UAUAAUUAAUAUUAAGAGAUUUUUUAUCCUUUCUUCGUCUCUUUUCUUUUCCAAACCCUUUUCAUUAUCAAAACCCUCGUUUCUUCCCUUCUGGAGAGAGGACUGAACCUCGUUUGAUUUCCCAAUAUGCAGUAGUAAAUUUUUCCAAAAAAUCACAAAAGUUUUCAUCAAUUUUCAUCAACGUCCUAUACGUAGGCUCUGAGUAUUGUGGUAAUGGAAGGAGAUCGAUAUUUCGAGUUUGACGAUUGGCGUAAUCUGAAUAGUUAUUCGAAAGGAGAUUUUCAUUAUAAGGAAACAAUAAAAAAUUUCUUGUCGAAAGCGUAAUGGAAGAAAUUGAGAGAGGGUGUUUUUGAAAAAUUUUUCUGGCUGAAAAAUGUUAAAUUAUGUGGCAAAUUAAUUCAUUGUAUGUUGAUUUAUGAAAUUGUAAGCAAUGAUAUAAAUUCAAUGACUUUUAAGGUUUU